ACUUCAGGAGGGGAAGAGAGGAAGUGCGCUGGGCAAAGAGGAAACGAUGUCACAGGACACACUUUUGCUGUCUUUGCUGCUGUCGCCUAAGAGGUGGACACAGCUCCCGAGGACUUACGCUAGAAGCCAAGCCAGUCUCCUCACCUGAAAAAUGGGAAGAGCAAAAUAUCCUACCCUAGAGGGUUGCUGUGAGAGCCGAAAGCGUCUAUCCACGUGAAGCACAUGGGACAGAGCCUGGCACAAAGAAAAUGCUUCCCAGGAUGACCCAGGAGAGAGGCACAAAUGUGAUGAGCAAGACAGUCUGAGAUCUCUCUGGAAGUCCUCUACCCCACCCGUGAGUGCUCUGCAGCCAGGAACACAGGUAGAAGAUAGGCAGAAGACCAAUGCCUCAGCCCAGCCUCCCUGGAAGAUGAGGAUCUGUCCCAAACAGUGGGGACACAGGAAUCCCAAGUGGAGCCACUCCCUUCUCCAGGCAAUGGAAAGCCCUGAUGGAGCCCGGUGUAAACUAUGCAGGGUGCCAGAGCCCCCACUGACAGCGCUGGUGUCCACAUGUGGUCACAGGGAUACAGCGGCAGCAUCCCAAAGCCCUAGCCUGGUCCAUCACCCUCAAAACUGCCUCUGGUUUGUCCAAGUCUACCAGGAUUCAAGUUCAUUUCAGAAAAGCAGUGGCCAGAAACCAAGGCCUGGAGGGGGCUGGGGAGGUGUCAGGGAAGGGAUCAGAGGCCAAGCUCUGUGUUUCCUCAGACAAAGAGAGAAAGCAGGCUGAGAGAUGGCGGCAGCAUGUGACACCUGGGCCACAGGCCUGGGCAGCAGCCGUGGCAGCCAAGGGGAUAAUGGCUCUCUUUGUCCUGCGUGUAAAUUCUCCGGAAAAGAAAGGAUUCCAGGGCCUGCUUCUCCGGCUUGCACAAUGCUGGCCGCCUGGGGCCCCACUGCGAGGGCCUGCCAUGGCAUUCGGGGAGCAGUGAGGCCCCUUCUCUGUCUCGUUCCUUCCAGGCGUGCAGAAGCGGAAAGUCAGGCUGCCGUGCCAGACAUUCUGCAGGGGGUUGGGAGGCUGGGCUGAGGCACAGCCUGUGCCAGGAGCUUUGUUUCACAGCCUCGAGGAAACCAAAGCAUCUUGAAGCUCUGAAUUAGAAAGAGUCUUAGAGAGCAUCCAUGCCAGCUCUUCCUAAUACUUGUCCCACCCCCUACCUUCUCUGCCUACCACUCCCCACUCCCCUGCCUUCAGCAGCCAAGAAUGGUUACAAACACAGGCUUUGGAGUCAGAGAGGGCUGAGUUCAAAUGCUGACAAUGCCACUCACAAGCUAUUUCAUCUCUAUGGGCUUCAGUUUCUCCACCUGCAAAAUGGACAUAAUAGCACCUACUCAUAAGAUUGUCAAUAGGAAUAAGUGAGAAAAUGCAUGUACCAUGCUUAAUGUGGACACAGCCUCCAGAAGCGCUCAAUAAGGGUAGACGGUCCAGUAGGUCACCCAGCCUGUACUUGAUUUCCUCCAAGGGCAGGCAAUCACUGCUUGCAUUCCAUUUUCAGACCAAGUUCAAAUCUGUCUCUUAUACCCUCAUGGGUGCUGAGGGUAAAGGGGAGAGGGCCUACAUACAUUAAACAUUUCCUACAUGUUACUGUUGCCAUAAAUUACUCACAGAACUUAAGGGCCUGUCUUAGUCUAUUUGUGUUGCUAUAAAGGAAUACCCGAGGCUGGGUAAUUUAUAAAGACAAGAGGUUUAUUUGGC
RNAcentral lists this long non-coding RNA (1726 nucleotides) under Homo sapiens (human). RNAcentral describes it as "HSALNT0349685". The record is from RNAcentral. Lineage: Eukaryota; Metazoa; Chordata; Mammalia; Primates; Hominidae.